This 253-nucleotide ribosomal RNA is filed under the name uncultured bacterium. RNAcentral's name for it is "partial 16S ribosomal RNA". It matches the Rfam family "Bacterial small subunit ribosomal RNA", at positions 524 to 776 of the family's 1533-position model. The record is from RNAcentral.
GACAGAGGAUGCAAGCGUUAUCCGGAAUUAUUGGGCGUAAAGCGUCCGCAGGUGGUUUUACAAGUCUGCUGUCAAAGCGUGGAGCUUAACUCCAUAAAGGCAGUGGAAACUGUGAGACUAGAGUUCGGUAGGGGUUACGGGAAUUCCCAGUGUAGCGGUGAAAUGCGUAGAUAUUGGGAAGAACACCAGCGGCGAAAGCGCGUAACUGGGCCUGAACUGACACUGAGGCGCGAAAGCGUGGGGAGCAAACAGG